This 468-nucleotide ribosomal RNA is filed under the name uncultured bacterium. RNAcentral's name for it is "partial 16S ribosomal RNA". It matches the Rfam family "Bacterial small subunit ribosomal RNA", at positions 28 to 507 of the family's 1533-position model. The record is from RNAcentral.
GACGAACGCUGGCGGCGUGCUUAACACAUGCAAGUCGAACGGAAAGGCCCUGCUUUUGUGGGGUGCUCGAGUGGCGAACGGGUGAGUAACACGUGAGUAACCUGCCCUUGACUUUGGGAUAACUUCAGGAAACUGGGGCUAAUACCGGAUAGGAGCUCCUGCUGCAUGGUGGGGGUUGGAAAGUUUCGGCGGUUGGGGAUGGACUCGCGGCUUAUCAGCUUGUUGGUGGGGUAGUGGCUUACCAAGGCUUUGACGGGUAGCCGGCCUGGGAGGGUGACCGGCCACAUUGGGACUGAGACACGGACCAGACUCCUACGGGAGGCAGCAGCGGGGAAUAUGGCACAAUGGGCGGAAGCCUGAUGCAGCAACGCCGCGUGCGGGAUGACGGCCUUCGGGUUGUAAACCGCUUUCGCCUGUGACGAAGCGUGAGUGACGGUAAUGGGUAAAGAAGCACCGGCUAACUACGUG